GCCCUAUCCUCCAUCAUCUUCUUCCUCUUCCCCUUGUAGCCGCCGACCACCCCGCCCCCUUCUGCUCAGACUUCUUCUUCGGCGACACUCCCGCGGCCACAAGCGCAAGGUAGCGAAGACUGAGUCCAUACCCACGUGAACGCCCAGCUCUCAUUUUCCUGCUGUCCUACAGAAAAGUCAACCAUGCCGACCGUCAGCGUCGGAAGAGAUCUUCUAUUUGCUGCCAUUGGAAGAACUUAUACGCAGGAAGAGUUUGAAGAGCUGUGCUUUAGUUUUGGAAUUGAGCUUGAUGACGUUACGUCAGAGAAGGCGAUCAUUAGGAAAGAGAAGCAUUUGGAAGAAGAAGCGGAUGAAGAUGAAGAAGUCAUCUACAAGAUUGAAGUCCCCGCAAACAGAUACGAUUUGCUCUGUCUUGAAGGACUUGCUCAAGCCCUGCGCAUUUUUAAUAAGCAGGAGGAGACACCCAGAUAUACAUUAGCCAAUAUCAGCAGGGAAUCUAUGCAUAAAAUGCAUGUAAAACCGGAGACUUCCUUGAUCCGUCCUUACAUCGUUUGUGCUGUUUUG
This 564-nucleotide unclassified non-coding RNA is filed under the name Hevea brasiliensis (rubber tree). The record is from RNAcentral. Lineage: Eukaryota; Viridiplantae; Streptophyta; Magnoliopsida; Malpighiales; Euphorbiaceae.